Molecule: long non-coding RNA, 237 nt
Filed under: Panax ginseng (ginseng)
Lineage: Eukaryota; Viridiplantae; Streptophyta; Magnoliopsida; Apiales; Araliaceae
Description: long non-coding RNA (PGIN_LNC014802)
Source: RNAcentral
AACUCUUGAUUGCUUGAUGGGUUAGUUUCCCCGACAACCUUACCACCUUUAUCUUCAUCUGUUCCUUCAUCUUUUCAUUAGUUUGAGAAUAUUUUGACUAUGAAAUCUCCCCCGAACUGUUGCUGUAUUUCUUGCAAGGAACUUUCCUUUCUAGCUUUUUCUACAGUCGGAAGGAUCAGUAUUUCCUCCUCAUCAUUCAGGAGGGUAAAAUCAGGAAUGUGGUUGCUGACUUUGGGC